GGAUGUGUAGCUCAGUUGGAAGAGCAAGGAAAACUAGUCCAAGCUGUGUAUCAAGUGAAGUGGAUGGGAGAUGGAUGGGAAUAAAACUUGAUUAAAAAACAGCUAGACUCUGGGACAGAUCCCAGGCCCCUGGUCGCACGAUCGAAACGUGUCACAUCCA
Non-coding RNA from Naegleria gruberi, 160 nucleotides. The record is from the annotation of a RefSeq genome assembly. Lineage: Eukaryota; Heterolobosea; Eutetramitea; Acrasida; Naegleriidae.